Non-coding RNA from Anolis sagrei ordinatus, 591 nucleotides. The record is from RefSeq and is a predicted model, not a curated record. Lineage: Eukaryota; Metazoa; Chordata; Lepidosauria; Squamata; Anolidae.
UGUUUACAGCUGGAGCGGGAGCUUUCAUUCGUGGGCUUCUGAGCUCACUUCCCCGCCGACAGGAAGCCCUGGCAGGACCCGGCUUCCCGCCACACCCCUGGUCUCGAGUGGGUCCAGAAGCGAGAGGCAAAAGGCAGGAGGCUGGGCUUUAAAGGGCUGAGCUGCAAAGCCUGCGAGGAGACUCAGCCCCAAGGCAGGAAGAAGCCAGGCACACAGGCAGACAGGAUAAUGGAACGUGAAUGAAUAUUUCACCUGCUGCUUCAGGAAAUGAGCCUCCAAAACUCUCCUUCCCUCUCUCCCAACCCUUGUACCAGUGUCAACUGUAGUCCUCACUGGUACAGAGGAUGGAAGGGUGGGCCUGCAGAGAUGAGACGCACCUAGUGCUACGCAAUCUCCCAGUCUGGAUGUCCUUUUUCAACCAAGGCAGAAGUGAUUUUAAGAACUCUCCUUCCCUUCAACGCAAGCAGAUAACACAUCCUUCUCUGUCAUAACCACAGUCUUGGAUUUUUACUCUCUAAGAGAUUGCCAGCUUGCCUUCAUUUAAAAUCUUCUAAAAUUAUGUGCUAAAUAAAAUCUUCUGAUCCAACACAA